CCGGGCUGCGUGCGCUGACAAGCAUCUCCGGGGCUCUCAGGUGUGCGCACUUUUCAGGCUCCGCGGCUGAAACUCCGCUGGCAGCCCAGGCAGCGCCCACCUGCUCUCAACCAGCCAGCGUCUCCCUCGGCCCGCGUAAAUUCAAGGCCCCAGAUCCUGCCCGCUCCAGAUACUGCAAACGCUGACUGCGCCAACAGAAACUCAGAGGCCCUUUUCAUCUGGUUCAAGAGAAGCUCAACAGAAAGUGAAACAGCUCCCAUCCCUUGGGGGAGAAGGCUCCAGGCCAGGUCCCAGGAGAGCGAAUGGCAUGAAGGAGGACAGCCCGGCUCACAAGGCUCAGGAGCCUAGCAAACACUGGCUUCCUAUGACGAUGGAGAAGAUGGAAAUCAAAAUCAGAAACAAAAGCGGCAGGGAGAGUGUGGAGCGAGUGCGGAAGGAGAGAGAGGCUGGUGUUGGGAGGUAAAGAAAGAAGAAUGGUGCCACCCAAGGAGGGCCUGGAUGAAUAGACUCAGGCAAGCACAAGAGCAGAACCGGCCUUGAGAAAGGUGGAAAUCACCUGGCCUGUGAGGCCAGGAUUCACUGUAAAGCUAAACAGAAAAAAAUCUACCAUAGCCCUGUA
This is a long non-coding RNA of Eubalaena glacialis (North Atlantic right whale), 619 nucleotides long. RefSeq lists it as uncharacterized. The record is from RefSeq and is a predicted model, not a curated record. The transcript is spliced from 3 exons. Lineage: Eukaryota; Metazoa; Chordata; Mammalia; Artiodactyla; Balaenidae.